UACGUAGGGUGCGAGCGUUGUCCGGAAUUAUUGGGCGUAAAGGGCUCGUAGGCGGUUUGUCGCGUCGGGAGUGAAAUCCACUGGCUUAACUGGUGGCUUGCUUUCGAUACGGGCAGACUGGAGGUAUGCAGGGGAGAACGGAAUUCCUGGUGUAGCGGUGAAAUGCGCAGAUAUCAGGAGGAACACCGGUGGCGAAGGCGGUUCUCUGGGCAUGUCCUGACGCUGAGGAGCGAAAGCCAGGGGAGCGAACGGG
Molecule: ribosomal RNA, 253 nt
Filed under: uncultured bacterium
Lineage: Bacteria
Description: partial 16S ribosomal RNA
Rfam family: Bacterial small subunit ribosomal RNA
Source: RNAcentral